UCGGCUCCUUCAAGUUUGCCUCCGGUACAUCCAUUAUUAGUUCCACCGCUAAUUCUUUUCUCUCCUUAAGAGAGCAGUAGUUCCGUCUCAUUUUUUGCUUACCGAGGAGGAUCUGCUCGUUCGUUUCUGUUCAGCGCCGGCGGCCCGGAGGGGCGUUGGUCAAGGAUGUCGGUGAGGAAAAGUCCAGUCUCCUCUGGUCAGGCCUGGUGGGAGGCGUGGCGGCUGGGAGUGCAUUGGUGGAUGUGUGUCGAGUGGGCGCGUUGGCCGGCUGUCCACAAGGACAAGGGGAGAGGCAGGUGCCGUGGUCCUGGCCUGGGUGUGGUUCGUCGUGCUUGCCGGUGGAGAAGGUCGGGCGGUGUGAGUGCUCCUGUUCUCGAGGUUCUCUUCUGCUGUACGCCAUCGCUACGUUGGGGGUGGGGUGGGGCGGGGUGUUUGGUGCCGCCUCGGUUCCCUGUCCCGGUCCCAUCUAUUCUUCCUCCCUUCUCUUUGAUUCCGGGGCAGCGAGGUACGUGGUUCUUCCCUCUAUAUAUUUUGUAAAUCCACUAAGCUCCCUGAAAAUUGAGCAUCGGGAGAGCUCCGACGUUUUCCUUCGAACCGGACCAUGGGUUGUUGCUUGAGCGGAAUCAGUUUUGGAGGAUCCUUAGACCAAGGGAAUUGGGGUAUCUGAACCCCGGCGAGCCGUGUUGUUAGCUGUUACAGCCACCGUCUCUCUGGGAGGCAGGUAGAAAUAGAGAGGGAAAUGAAGGAUCGAGAGGGAAGACGGGAUGACAUAAAGGAGACAACGAAAGAAGAACGCACGUCCCUUCUUUCCCGUCGUUGCUUGAGUGUCGAUCCAGUCUGAAUAUCCCUUUUCUUGCCUACAAAUUCUGUAACGCAGUUCCCUUCUAUCCCUGUAAUCUUACUCAAAACUGAAUUCCUGUAACCUCUGCUGCUCUGUCUGAAUUUUCUCAACAUUUGCUUCUCCUCUUUUGAUUCAGUUCAUAGUACUGUUAGUGCCGCUCAUAAUUUUGGUAGAAAUCCUUUCUUUUUAGUUUAACUGUACCUUCUGUUUACUUCCUUCUACUGCGUGAAAUGAAUCCAGUUCCUAAUUGUUUGGUCAAUCUGUUCAUUCAGUUAUAGUUUAAAAAAAAGUGUCCUGUUUAUUGUGUUCCUGCAUGCACUUGUUCUGAACCUUACUUACUGCUGUUUUAUUUAGUGUUUUUUUUUGCGAGGUAGGGAGCUUAGUGCUAUAGAGGAUAUAUUGACCAUUGAUUGAUUAUGAUACUGAAAGCAGAAAAAUGAUGUGAGCAGGACAAGCAUAACCGCAGGGGGGAGCACCGAAAUGGACUCGCAACGGGACAACUCCGACACUGACAAGAGUGGCAACCCAGAUUCCAAACCGAGCAAGAGCACGCAAGCAUUCACAUUUCUCCAACAAACUAGCAACGAUGGAAGCUUUGACUACGAAAGGGCUGAUGAGAAAACGUGCAUUUCGUGUUGUUUCUGGAUGGUUGUAACAUUUUUGUGUAUGAUUUAUUUGUAGAGGCUAUUGGUUUUCUACUACUUAAACAAUUUAUCUGUACUACACCGGUUGUCCUGACGAUGUGCUGCUGUAAGUUGUUAACAGUGCUGUGUGCAGUACACCUGGUUGUAGGAUCAUUAGUGACACUCUUGUGUGUGAAUUUAAAGCAAUUUCAAAUAGCCAUCCGAAAUUGCUGGCAUUUCACGGAAGGCAAAGAGUGACCAAGCAAGAAGCACAUCGUCCAUUGCUUUGCUCACUAGGAGAGGUCGAGAGGCCACCAUGCAUGCCUGCCCAACGUACAACAGCGCGAGCCCCCGCCAAGGGAGGAAGAAAAUCAGAUCCCACCACACCACACCACACAAAACCUCACCUCACCACACAUGUUGACAUGUACAACACCACCCCGCAAAAUCCAGGGCAAAACGCCCUAAGCAUCACCAGAUCGUCGCAUGCAGUCGGUUGGAGAUCACUCGACGGCGACGCUGGAGGCCGAGCCGGCAG
Molecule: long non-coding RNA, 2002 nt
Filed under: Triticum aestivum (bread wheat)
Lineage: Eukaryota; Viridiplantae; Streptophyta; Magnoliopsida; Poales; Poaceae
Description: long non-coding RNA (TAES_LNC027219)
Source: RNAcentral